GAUCCUGGCUCAGGAUGAACGCUAGCUACAGGCUUAACACAUGCAAGUCGAGGGGCAGCAUUCUUCUAGCAAUAGAAGAGAUGGCGACCGGCGCACGGGUGAGUAACACGUAUCCAACCUACCGAUAACUCUGGAAUAGCCUUUCGAAAGAAAGAUUAAUACCGGAUAGCAUACGAAUAUCGCAUGAUAUUUUUAUUAAAGAAUUUCGGUUAUCGAUGGGGAUGCGUUCCAUUAGUUUGUUGG
RNAcentral lists this ribosomal RNA (243 nucleotides) under uncultured bacterium. RNAcentral describes it as "partial 16S ribosomal RNA". It matches the Rfam family "Bacterial small subunit ribosomal RNA", at positions 15 to 252 of the family's 1533-position model. The record is from RNAcentral.